Molecule: ribosomal RNA, 514 nt
Filed under: Fusarium oxysporum
Lineage: Eukaryota; Fungi; Ascomycota; Sordariomycetes; Hypocreales; Nectriaceae
Description: eukaryotic LSU rRNA
Rfam family: 5.8S ribosomal RNA (bases 148-301)
Source: RNAcentral
GGGCUCGAGUUCACUCCCAACCCCUGUGACAUACCACUUGUUGCCUCGGCGGAUCAGCCCGCUCCCGGUAAAACGGGACGGCCCGCCAGAGGACCCCUAAACUCUGUUUCUAUAUGUAACUUCUGAGUAAAACCAUAAAUAAAUCAAAACUUUCAACAACGGAUCUCUUGGUUCUGGCAUCGAUGAAGAACGCAGCAAAAUGCGAUAAGUAAUGUGAAUUGCAGAAUUCAGUGAAUCAUCGAAUCUUUGAACGCACAUUGCGCCCGCCAGUAUUCUGGCGGGCAUGCCUGUUCGAGCGUCAUUUCAACCCUCAAGCACAGCUUGGUGUUGGGACUCGCGUUAAUUCGCGUUCCUCAAAUUGAUUGGCGGUCACGUCGAGCUUCCAUAGCGUAGUAGUAAAACCCUCGUUACUGGUAAUCGUCGCGGCCACGCCGUUAAACCCCAACUUCUGAAUGUUGACCUCGGAUCAGGUAGGAAUACCCGCUGAACUUAAGCAUAUCAAUAAGCGGGGGGA